UGGUCUUGACAUCCCGAGGAUCUCCUGGAAACAGGAGAGUGCUUUCAUUAGAGAGAACUCGGUGACAGGUGCUGCAUGGCUGUCGUCAGCUCGUGUCGUGAGAUGUUGGGUUAAGUCCCGCAACGAGCGCAACCCUUGCCUUUAGUUGCCAGCAGGUUAAGCUGGGCACUCUAAAGGGACUGCCGGUGUCAAACCGGAGGAAGGUGGGGAUGACGUCAAGUCCUCAUGGCCUUUAUGACCAGGGCUACACACGUACUACAAUGGCCGAUACAAAGGGCAGCUACAUUGCAAAAUGAUGCGAAUCCCAUAAAGUCGGUCUCAGUCCGGAUUGGGGUCUGCAACUCGACCCCAUGAAGUUGGAAUCGCUAGUAAUCGUGGAUCAGCAUGCCACGGUGAAUACGUUCCCGGGCCU
This 412-nucleotide ribosomal RNA is filed under the name uncultured bacterium. RNAcentral's name for it is "bacterial SSU rRNA". It matches the Rfam family "Bacterial small subunit ribosomal RNA", at positions 976 to 1381 of the family's 1533-position model. The record is from RNAcentral.